RNAcentral lists this ribosomal RNA (450 nucleotides) under uncultured bacterium. RNAcentral describes it as "partial 16S ribosomal RNA". It matches the Rfam family "Bacterial small subunit ribosomal RNA", at positions 354 to 796 of the family's 1533-position model. The record is from RNAcentral.
GUGGGGAAUUUUGGACAAUGGGCGCAAGCCUGAUCCAGCCAUUCCGCGUGCAGGAUGAAGGCCUUCGGGUUGUAAACUGCUUUUGUACGGAACGAAAAGCCUCUGGUUAAUACCCGGGGGUCAUGACGGUACCGUAAGAAUAAGCACCGGCUAACUACGUGCCAGCAGCCGCGGUAAUACGUAGGGUGCGAGCGUUAAUCGGAAUUACUGGGCGUAAAGCGUGCGCAGGCGGUGAUGUAAGACAGGCGUGAAAUCCCCGGGCUCAACCUGGGAAUGGCGCGUGUGACUGCAAGGCUGGAGUGCGGCAGAGGGGGAUGGAAUUCCGCGUGUAGCAGUGAAAUGCGUAGAUAUGCGGAGGAACACCGAUGGCGAAGGCAAUCCCCUGGGCCUGCACUGACGCUCAUGCACGAAAGCGUGGGGAGCAAACAGGAUUAGAAACCCCAGUAGUCC